This 253-nucleotide ribosomal RNA is filed under the name uncultured bacterium. RNAcentral's name for it is "partial 16S ribosomal RNA". It matches the Rfam family "Bacterial small subunit ribosomal RNA", at positions 524 to 776 of the family's 1533-position model. The record is from RNAcentral.
GACGAACCGUGCGAACGUUGUUCGGAAUCAUUGGGCUUAAAGGGCGCGUAGGCGGGCGGCCGCGUCCGGGGUGAAAUCCCACGGCUCAACCGUGGAACGGCCUCGGAUACGGGCGGCCUCGAGGGGGGUAGGGGCAUCUGGAACUGUGAGUGGAGCGGUGAAAUGCGUUGAUAUUCACAGGAACUCCGGUGGCGAAGGCGAGGUGCUGGACCCCAUCUGACGCUGAGGCGCGAAAGCCAGGGGAGCGAACGGG